RNAcentral lists this ribosomal RNA (493 nucleotides) under uncultured Bacteroidales bacterium. RNAcentral describes it as "bacterial SSU rRNA". It matches the Rfam family "Bacterial small subunit ribosomal RNA", at positions 54 to 540 of the family's 1533-position model. Lineage: Bacteria; Pseudomonadati; Bacteroidota; Bacteroidia; Bacteroidales. The record is from RNAcentral.
CAUGCAAGUCGAGGGGCAUCAUGAGGUAGCAAUACCUUGAUGGUCGACGGCGCACGGGUGAGUAACGCGUAUGCAACCUGCCUGAUACCGGGGUAUAGCCCAUGGAAACGUGGAUUAACACCCCAUAGUACUUUUAUCCUGCAUGGGAUGUGAGUUAAAUGUUUAAGGUAUCGGAUGGGCAUGCGUCCUAUUAGUUAGUUGGCGGGGUAACAGCCCACCAAGACGAUGAUAGGUAGGGGUUCUGAGAGGAAGGUCCCCCACAUUGGAACUGAGACACGGUCCAAACUCCUACGGGAGGCAGCAGUGAGGAAUAUUGGUCAAUGGACGUAAGUCUGAACCAGCCAAGUCGCGUGAGGGAAGACUGCCCUAUGGGUUGUAAACCUCUUUUAUAAGGGAAGAAUAAGUUCUUACGUGUAGAAUGAUGCCUGUACCUUAUGAAUAAGCAUCGGCUAACUCCGUGCCAGCAGCCGCGGUAAUACGGAGGAUGCGAGCG